AUGUCGGCUCGUCACAUCCUGGGGCUGGAGAAGGUCCCAAGGGUUCGGCUGUUCGCCGAUUAAAGUGGCACGCGAGCUGGGUUCAGAACGUCGUGAGACAGUUCGGUCCCUAUCUGUUGUGGGCGCUGGAAGUUUGAGAGGACCUGACUCUAGUACGAGAGGACCGAGUCGGACGUACCUCUAGUGGACCUGUUGUGGCGCCAGCUGCAUCGCAGGGUAGCUAUGUACGGUUGAGAUAAGCGCUGAAAGCAUCUAAGCACGAAACUCGCCUCAAGAUGAGACUUCCUUUAAGGGUCGUCGGAGACUACGACGUUGAUAGGUUGUAAGUGUAAAGACAGUAAUGUCAAAGCUGAGCAAUACUAAUUGCCCGUAGACUUUAGAUC
Molecule: ribosomal RNA, 383 nt
Filed under: Bacteroidia bacterium
Lineage: Bacteria; Pseudomonadati; Bacteroidota; Bacteroidia
Description: partial 23S ribosomal RNA
Rfam family: Bacterial large subunit ribosomal RNA
Source: RNAcentral